GAUGAAGAACGUAGCGAAAUGCGAUAAGUAAUGUGAAUUGCAGAAUUCAGUGAAUCAUCGAAUCUUUGAACGCUCAUUGCGCCCGCCAGUAUUCUGGCGGGCAUGCCUGUUCGAGCGUCAUUACAACCCUCAGGCCCCCGGGCCUGGCGUUGGGGAUCGGCGGAAGCCCCCUGCGGGCACAACGCCGUCCCCCAAAUACAGUGGCGGUCCCGCCGCAGCUUCCAUUGCGUAGUAGCUAACACCUAGCGACUGGAGAGCGGCGCGGCCACGCCGUAAAACACCCAACUUCUGAAUGUUGACCUCGAAUCAGGUAGGAAUACCCGCUGAACUUAAGCAUAUCAAUAAGCGGAGGA
RNAcentral lists this unclassified non-coding RNA (353 nucleotides) under soil metagenome. RNAcentral's name for it is "partial contains 5.8S ribosomal RNA, internal transcribed spacer 2, and large subunit ribosomal RNA". The stretch from base 1 to 120 matches the Rfam family "5.8S ribosomal RNA", at positions 35 to 154 of the family's 154-position model. The record is from RNAcentral.